Molecule: long non-coding RNA, 877 nt
Organism: Astatotilapia calliptera (eastern happy)
Lineage: Eukaryota; Metazoa; Chordata; Actinopteri; Cichliformes; Cichlidae
Source: Ensembl
UUCGGGGUUCUGAUGUAGCCACCAGAUAUUCAAGCCAAGAAUGUUGUCCAUUAGUCACUGUUUGCAAAGAUAAAAAAACAAAAAAACAAAAAAAAAAACAACCACUUUUAAUGAAAGUUUGUGUUCAGUCUUUUUUUGAUGUAAGCUUUUCUUUUUAAAUCUGCUCCAAUGUGAUUGGUCAGUUGAACUUGAACUAGAAACUAGCUACAACAGGUAACCAGUCAGCUCAAGAAGCAAAUAAUCUUGUCCCUUUCCUACCAAUUCUGAAAUACCGGAUAAUUCUGUUCAUAGAAUUUAUAGUUUAGCUAACUUUCAUCACUGUAAUCCCAAUAAAAAAGAAAUUAAAAAAUGUUUUAUGUGGCGUUCAGAGGGCAAAACAUUUGAAAUAAUUUGAUUAUUUACUGUAAAAAAAAAAAAAAGAAAAAAGGGGGGAAAAAAACCUGUAAAAAAAAAAAAAAAUUAAAAAAAAUUCUGUAACAUGUAGGUUGCAGCUGGUGAACUGAGAAUAUCUGCCUCUUUUAGAUGUCCAGCCUCAGCAAAUAUACUUGCAUGCUUCACCAGGGUCAGUGUAAAAUUUUAAUUUCAGCAGCACAACAGAUACACCCACACGCUUGGUAUCGCUGUGCUCAGACAUUUCUUGCUUAAUUUCCAGUAAUGCUCUCCAAGCCUGCAGAUGAAAUUCAAAUCUUUGCAAAAAUUGAGGCAUAUUUUCACAUUUGUACCUGCGAUUUCCAUUGCAGAUUGCAGUUGCCUUGGCUAAUGUUUGGCACCUGGCUAAUCUGUUUAAAGAACAUCCCCUGUAACAAAUCAGCCAACUGGGGGUGUCAAGAGGACAGGGCUGCGGUGGCAAAGGAGAAAGUGACUAUUUUCCUCAUUC